UUUGCCAGUGUUCAGUAGUCAUAUUCAGUGGUCUUUUCAAGUAUAAACCAGAAGUACUUUUGGGCCCAACACUUGCAGUUGCCUUACUGAUGUUUCAAAAC
Long non-coding RNA from Perognathus longimembris pacificus (Pacific pocket mouse), 101 nucleotides. RefSeq lists it as uncharacterized. The transcript has 3 exons. Lineage: Eukaryota; Metazoa; Chordata; Mammalia; Rodentia; Heteromyidae. The record is from RefSeq and is a predicted model, not a curated record.